This 497-nucleotide ribosomal RNA is filed under the name uncultured bacterium. RNAcentral's name for it is "partial 16S ribosomal RNA". It matches the Rfam family "Bacterial small subunit ribosomal RNA", at positions 28 to 507 of the family's 1533-position model. The record is from RNAcentral.
GAUGAACGCUGGCGGCGUGCCUAAUACAUGCAAGUCGAGCGAACGGACGAGAAGCUUGCUUCUCUGAUGUUAGCGGUGGACGGGUGAGUAACACGUGGAUAACCUACCUAUAAGACUGGGAUAACUUCGGGAAACCGGAGCUAAUACUGGAUAAUAUUUUGAACCGCAUGGUUCAAAAGUGAAAGACGGUCUUGCUGUCACUUAUAGAUGGAUCCGCGCUGCAUUAGCUAGUUGGUAAGGUAACGGCUUACCAAGGCAACGAUGCAUAGCCGACCUGAGAGGGUGAUCGGCCACACUGGAACUGAGACACGGUCCAGACUCCUACGGGAGGCAGCAGUAGGGAAUCUUCCGCAAUGGGCGAAAGCCUGACGGAGCAACGCCGCGUGAGUGAUGAAGGUCUUCGGAUCGUAAAACUCUGUUAUUAGGGAAGAACAUAUGUGUAAGUAACUGUGCACAUCUUGACGGUACCUAAUCAGAAAGCCACGGCUAACUACGUG